GGGAAUUUUGCGCAAUGGACGAAAGUCUGACGCAGCAACGCCGCGUGAGGGAUGACGGCCUUCGGGUUGUAAACCUCUUUCAGCAGGGACGAAGCGAAAGUGACGGUACCUGCAGAAGAAGCACCGGCCAACUACGUGCCAGCAGCCGCGGUAAGACGUAGGGUGCGAGCGUUGUCCGGAUUUAUUGGGCGUAAAGAGCUCGUAGGCGGCUUGUCGCGUCGACUGUGAAAACCCGCAGCUCAACUGCGGGCCUGCAGUCGAUACGGGCAGGCUAGAGUUCGGUAGGGGAGACUGGAAUUCCUGGUGUAGCGGUGAAAUGCGCAGAUAUCAGGAGGAACACCGAUGGCGAAGGCAGGUCUCUGGGCCGAUACUGACGCUGAGGAGCGAAAGCGUGGGGAGCGAAC
This 404-nucleotide ribosomal RNA is filed under the name uncultured bacterium. RNAcentral's name for it is "bacterial SSU rRNA". It matches the Rfam family "Bacterial small subunit ribosomal RNA", at positions 357 to 773 of the family's 1533-position model. The record is from RNAcentral.